Molecule: transfer RNA, 87 nt
Filed under: Kamagatella elastica
Lineage: Bacteria; Bacillati; Bacillota; Tissierellia; Tissierellales; Kamagatellaceae
Description: Gottschalkiaceae bacterium SANA tRNA-Leu
Rfam family: tRNA
About the family: Transfer RNA (tRNA) molecules are approximately 80 nucleotides in length.
Source: RNAcentral
GCUGAAGUGGCGGAAUUGGCAGACGCACCAGACUCAAAAUCUGGCGAUGGUGACAUUGUAAGGGUUCAAGUCCCUUCUUCAGCACCA